This 500-nucleotide ribosomal RNA is filed under the name uncultured Entrophospora. RNAcentral's name for it is "SSU rRNA". It matches the Rfam family "Eukaryotic small subunit ribosomal RNA", at positions 569 to 1067 of the family's 1831-position model. The record is from RNAcentral. Lineage: Eukaryota; Fungi; Glomeromycota; Glomeromycetes; Entrophosporales; Entrophosporaceae.
AGCAGCCGCGGUAAUUCCAGCUCCAAUAGCGUAUAUUAAAGUUGUUGCAGUUAAAAAGCUCGUAGUUGAAUUUCGGGAUUGACACAUCGGUCGUGCCUUAAGGGGUAUGAACUGGUGUAGUCAAUUUCUCACCUUCUGGAGAACCGCGAUGCCCUUAAUUGGAUGUCGUGGGGAACCAGGACCUUUACUUUGAAAAAAUUAGAGUGUUUAAAGCAGGCAUUUUGCUUGAAUACAUUAGCAUGGAAUAAUAAAAUAGGACGGCAUGAUUCUAUUUUGUUGGUUUCUAGGAUCACCGUAAUGAUUAAUAGGGAUAGUUGGGGGCAUUAGUAUUCAAUUGUCAAAGGUGAAAUUCUUGGAUUUAUUGAAGAUUAACUACUGCGAAAGCAUUUGCCAAGGAUGUUUUCAUUAAUCAAGAACGAAAGUUAGGGGAUCGAAGACGAUCAGAUACCGUCGUAGUCUUAACCAUAAACUAUGCCGACUAGGGAUCGGAUGAUGUUAAU